Molecule: non-coding RNA, 2164 nt
Organism: Paramuricea clavata
Lineage: Eukaryota; Metazoa; Cnidaria; Anthozoa; Malacalcyonacea; Plexauridae
Source: the annotation of a GenBank genome assembly
CUGUAGCUCAGUUGGUUAGAGCUCGACAACUGUCUCUCUGUAGCUCAGUUGGUUAGAGCUCGACAACUGUCUCUCUGUAGCUCAGUUAUUUGUCGCAACUGCUUUUGGUUAAGUGGAAUAAAUGUAUAAAAAUUCCACUGGAAAUUUCCAUCUACGAAUUCUUUCAACAACAAAUGAAAGUGGAUCAUCUUUGACGUGGGCUGGCUCCCUCCCCCUUAAGUUAUCGGCUUUUUUUACUUGUUAAUAGUGGGGUUUUUACCAUGAUCAAGCGGAACCAUUUAGUUAUUUAAUUUAAUUAGUUUUAAGUGGAAUAAAUGUAUAAAAAUUCCACUGGAAAUUUCCAUCUACGAAUUCUUUCAACAACAAAUGAAAGUGGAUCAUCUUUGACGUGGGCUGGCUCCCUCCCCCUUAAGUUAUCGGCUUUUUUUACUUGUUAAUAGUGGGGUUUUUACCAUGAUCAAGCGGAACCAUUUAGUUAUUUAAUUUAAUUAGUUUUAAGUGGAAUAAAUGUAUAAAAAUUCCACUGGAAAUUUCCAUCUACGAAUUCUUUCAACAACAAAUGAAAGUGGAUCAUCUUUGACGUGGGCUGGCUCCCUCCCCCUUAAGUUAUCGGCUUUUUUUACUUGUUAAUAGUGGGGUUUUUACCAUGAUCAAGCGGAACCAUUUAGUUAUUUAAUUUAAUUAGUUUUAAGUGGAAUAAAUGUAUAAAAAUUCCACUGGAAAUUUCCAUCUACGAAUUCUUUCAACAACAAAUGAAAGUGGAUCAUCUUUGACGUGGGCUGGCUCCCUCCCCCUUAAGUUAUCGGCUUUUUUUACUUGUUAAUAGUGGGGUUUUUACCAUGAUCAAGCGGAACCAUUUAGUUAUUUAAUUUAAUUAGUUUUAAGUGGAAUAAAUGUAUAAAAAUUCCACUGGAAAUUUCCAUCUACGAAUUCUUUCAACAACAAAUGAAAGUGGAUCAUCUUUGACGUGGGCUGGCUCCCUCCCCCUUAAGUUAUCGGCUUUUUUUACUUGUUAAUAGUGGGUUUUUUACCAUGAUCAAGCGGAACCAUUUAGUUAUUUAAUUUAAUUAGUUUCAUAUCCGCAAAUUUGAGGUAUAUUUACACAUGAUUGUGGAAAAGACGCUAUUUUGAGUGUGAUUUUAAUAACAUGUUGGAAUGUGUGUUUGGUAAACUGAAAUGCGUUGCUAGGAAGUUAAAAUGUUUGUGCAUUGUAUAUCUCGCCAUUUCUUUCAUUGUCAGCUAAAGCGCUGUUGUGCUACAAGACAAAGGCACUGACGUCAAAGCAAAGCAAUUAUCUGUCUACAUAUUUAUGAAAAAAAAAUAAAAAAUAUUCAGAAGAAAUCAAUGUAUAAUGAGGUGUUGUAGCCAACAUAUACAAAAUUAUCUUGAUUUACAUAAACCUUUUCCGCGAAUUUCUCGGUUAAAAUCACUUCUUUUUAAAAAAUUGUCAAAAAAAAAUCGGGAAGAGAAACCGACGAAAGGGCCUUCGCUCGAAACGUCGCUUGUAUUUUUCAGGAAAUUGUAUCCCAAACGCAGCUUUCUUAUCAUUGGCCCUGCCUGCAGUGGCACAAACCCUUCGAGAUUUAAUCUACUUAUUACUUAACCCAUUGAGUGGCAGCACUCUCCACUUGACGAGUAAAAUCGUCUGGCGUUAGACAGAGUAAAAUACUAAAGUAGGGCGCAUCGGGGUGCAUUGCCACUUACAGUCGUGCCAAUAGAAGCGUUCCGAAAAAUGUUGACCAGUUCAUUUCCUAACUUCGAGGAGUUCCUCUGAACAAUUCCUCAACAAUUUGAUAAGUUCCUUAAAAAGUUCUUAACUUCCUGUUUCAUUGACCAAUCAGAUUGCCCAAAAAGAAAAUAUAAAAUUUGAUUGGUCAAUGAAACCGGAAAUUGGGAACUUUUUAAAGAAAUUUUCAAAAUUUUAAGGAAUUGUUCAGAGGUGUUCCUUCAAGUUAGGAAAUGAACUGGGCAACAUUUUUCGGAACGCUUCUAUUGGCACGACUGUAAGGGGUUAAAGUAUAUAGAGUUGUGUGUCCGUUGUUUCCAUACUCUUUUAUACAGCCAAUAGACCUUUCCCGUUAUGAGUGAAAUUUUGAUCUAGAUAUGCCUGGACAAAAAUUUCAUCACAGCUUGAAAGAGCAUCACAAAAUUAGUAAUAUUCCGA